Molecule: ribosomal RNA, 273 nt
Filed under: uncultured bacterium
Lineage: Bacteria
Description: partial 16S ribosomal RNA
Rfam family: Bacterial small subunit ribosomal RNA
Source: RNAcentral
GACAAACGCUGGCGGCGUGCCUAACACAUGCAAGUCGAAACGGUCCUCCUUCGGGAGGAUAGUGGCGGACGGGUGAGUAACACGUAGAUAACCUGCCCCGAUGUGGGGAAUAACAUCUCGAAAGAGAUGCUAAUACCGCAUAAGUUCUAUAUCGCAAGGUAUAGAAGGAAACGCUCUCGCAAGGGAGUGGCGUUGGGAGGGGUCUGCGGCGAUUAGCCAGUUGGUGAGGUAACGGCUCACCAAAGCGACGAUCCGUAGCUGGUCUGAGAGGAC